Molecule: long non-coding RNA, 1793 nt
Filed under: Homo sapiens (human)
Lineage: Eukaryota; Metazoa; Chordata; Mammalia; Primates; Hominidae
Description: KIF23 and PAQR5 antisense RNA 1, transcript variant 2 (KIF23-AS1)
Source: RNAcentral
AACUGGCCUGUGUAAGCGGAUGGGCUCGGCCUCAAGGACAGGGUGCUCGGCUGAAAAAAAAGCUAGCGGCGAUCACCGGUGCCAGGGCUCUCCAGAAACGGAGCCCAUCUAACCAAUGCCCAGCACACUCGCUCUGCUCCACACACGAGACCACCUCCGACCCGCACUAAGUUGGCCAACUGCACUCUGGAGGCGGCGGCAGCCAGCGAGGGAGAAGGGAAAGGCUGUCCCGGGACCCCGAGGAGGACUGCCCCGCCCCCGGGAACCGGGUGCGGCGUAAAACAACCCCGGCUCCGGGCCGACCCUUCCUGGCCCCUUGGAGGCCCAGGCGGGGCGGCGGGGGGCGACGCGGCAGGGGUCUCCGCGCCCAGGCUCCCGCGGAGCGGCCACACGUGGAGGUUCCCACUUUGGGGUCGCGGCCGCAGCAGCACCGGGCGGGAUGCUGUCCGCGCUGCCCGCGUACGGCCGCGGCCUGAGUGGAGACGCCUGCCCCCAGCCCCGAGGCCUCGGCCCCCGUCCGCCCUCUCUCCCUGCUCGGCGGCCUCGUACUCACGCUGACUUCAUGGCAGCAGGCUCCACGCCGCCCAAACGCGCAUGCGGGACGGCUGGCUGGCGAAGACUGCGGGACGUUAGGACCGGCAGCAAGAACUAGAACUUCGCGGCUAAGGCGCGGUGCUCUGCGAAGCCGGCGGCGACGCUAAGAGCCCAGGUGAGCUCCCGCCUGGCGCAUUUCAAACGGGCCAAUCAGCGCCCGUCCGCAGGGAGAGGCAGGACCUCCGCGGAAGUGACUUCGCUGCCGGAAGUGGCGCUUGUCUCCUAGGCGACCGACGCUGAAAGGGCCGCGGAGUCGCGUGUCAGGGCUGGAGGGAGAUCUUGAGAUCACUUCAAACUUAAGUGAGCUCAGGUUCAUCUGGAGGAUGACUCGGCCUCUGUUCUCUCGUCCCACCUGACGAGAAAUACCCACAGGUGUGGAGGGGCUGGCCCCCUUCACCUGGGUCUCGACUCCUGUUUUGUUCUGCGGUUCCCAUUGCAGUGCUGUGACCCCCCAGAAGCUCAGGAAAACAACUGACUUCCUGGUGUUGCCAACAGGCAGAGAGGAGAUGCAGCCAGUCCUUACCCUGUAGAAGAUGGGGAGGGAGUCCCAGGUGUACGGAUAAGCAAAGGCGAGGACACGAAUCACCUUACAGAGUCUGGGCUUCUGGAUUUCAAGAAACCUAAAUCAGGGAAGGAAAGUGGGGAGGAAAUGGAAUGAAAAGAGUCUCAGCAAAUUGCAUACGCACAUGCAUGCACACCGAGGGCCUGGUCAUCAACAGAGGACAAGCAUUUUUCUACAAGCUCCUGUGGCCAGCAGCUUCUCCACCAGCCUCGUCCAUUCCUCCCACCCCAAUGGAAGUGACAAAACUUCAGAUGCAAAAAGAUCUCCAGGGACACCAUCUCCUGACCAUGGGAAGCAGUGGUGUCCAGACUAAGCCAGAAAGGAGGCGCUGGGCAGAAACCCUUCAAGGGCCAAGUUAUGUAACUGCCAAAGAACCUUUUAAAACUCUAGUUGCUACAGGGACAGGGAACGGGUAGGGGGAAUCGGGGGAUCCACUGCCACAGACUCUUGGGGGGCACACUCUGCAGAGGCUGAGAUGCACCCAUCUAGUUGGAGCCCAGGUAUUAUCAUGCAGGAGACCUGGGUUCAAGUAGGUGUUUGACCCUUGGAGAGCUUUCUGGAAUAUUUAUACCACACACAGGGAUACUUGGCUUGGGAAAACUAAAUAAACGUGAAGUCUUUCAAAAAAAAAAAAAAA